Molecule: long non-coding RNA, 2653 nt
Organism: Oreochromis niloticus (Nile tilapia)
Lineage: Eukaryota; Metazoa; Chordata; Actinopteri; Cichliformes; Cichlidae
Exons: 2
Source: RefSeq, a predicted model, not a curated record
GAGCGGCUGUUGUCUGCGAGACCUAUCGAGUGACACAUACUUCUCUGAUAAGCAAAGCUGGGUUACGCCAAGUAGCGCGUUUUGUGAGGCGAGGAUCGGUCCAUUUUUAAUUAGUAUAGUAUGAAGAUCUAAUCUGGACGCCUUAUUCUGGACUAACUGAAGUCUGUUAAGAUCUGUCUUAUUAGCUGCUGACCAAAUGAUUGAACAGUACUCCAGAUGAGGCAUUACUAGUGCAUUAAUGACAUCUUUCAUAAUUGAAGAAGUGAUACAGAAAGAGCAUUUCAUAGCCAUAGCUAUGCCUUGUCCCGUUUUCUUAAAAACAGUCGAUGUGCUGAGACCAUGAAAGGUGGUGAUUUAUGGUAACGCCGAGUAGUUUAAUCUGGGUGACGUGUUCUAACACUGGCUAUGGAAAGACUCAGUUGUGGGCUGCUGACUAAUCUGCUUCCAAUUAACAUAGAUUUGGAUUUAGAUACAUUUAAAAUCAUGUUGUUUUUACUUAUCCAGUCAAACACACGAGAUUCGAAGUGCGUUUCUGAGAUACCGACGAGGCCUCCCUUGCAAGUAAAUCGAUCGCUGUUGCCUUGUUUUUCUUUCAUGGGAAUAAGUCCUGGGGUCUGUUUCAGAAAGCGGGUUUAGAAAACUCAGAGUUAAAAAUGAUACUCAGGUUUGAGUAACCCCGAACUGUCCAACUCGGAAUAUUCGGUUUCAGAAAGGCUGAUAACAAUUAGUUCAAUCAACGCGGAGUUGCUUUAACCCCAAGUUAAGCGCGCGCACGAGGAUACAUAAAGCCCUGAUUAGUGGAGCACAGAUUAAGCGAGUCACCAUGGAGACGGAGGGAAAGAAGGCGCGGUCAAUGUAUUUUACAGCGCUUGAGGCCGAAAUUCUGAUGGCAGCAUAUGCCGAUAACAUGCAAAUUUUGCGGGAAAAAAGUAACACAGCCUCAGCUGCAAAAGAAAGGGAGCAUGCAUGGCAAAACAUAGCCGACAGAGUCAAUGCGUGAGUGUUAAUUUAAACAUUGAUCUAGGGAUUUCCACCCAUUUAACACGUUAUUUUAUUAUAUUUCAUUUUAUUUCUUAUUUUAUACGUUUUAUUUUUUGAUGUGACGUGAGCGCAGGUGCAACCCAACAGGUCCCAAACGUUCCUGGCAGCAAGUAAAAAUGAAAUAUAAAAAUAUAGUCCAAACAGGUAAGGUGUAAUUGUAUUAUGAGCCAUAGUGCUUGGUCUGUUUGUCCUAUGUAAAUCAAUUGCAGUUAAAGGCUACAUUAAUUUUCUUUCUGUAAGCACUUAUUGAAAUUAUCUGAGCACAUUACAAGUACAUAUUUGCUUACUCUGUAUGCUCAAAUGUGACCCGUUAUAGCCAACAGAAAAAAAGCGGAGGCCCGAAAAACAGGUGGGGGUCCUCCACCUGAAGGCAUCUCUGCGGGGACAUCCUCUGAGUCAAUAACCCCGCAAGACACAAGUGCCUACAUAAGAGGCAAAUUCAAAAUAAUACAUGAUGUGCAUACAUCCUUUCUUCACAGUCACCUUUGCAGUGCUACUCAUUCAUUUGAUAAACUCUUUACCAUAAUGAAUUAUUUUGUAGUGAAGUUAUUUCCCUAAUGAUUUUGCCUUCCCUCAGUCUUGGUUGUCUUUGAGAGCAUAAUGACAAUGAAGUGUAAGGUGAUUGGUAUGUUUGUUAAUUGCCAUUUGGUCCCUUGUAAGUUAUAAGUGACCUGUAUAAACCUCAUAUUCUAUCAGAUGGUGAUGGUGUACUGCAUCUGGUGCAGCCUCCUGUUGAGCCAGACCAACAUGCAGUUGAAAAUAAUGAAGAAACAUUGACAGCUGUUACAGAGGAGGAAGCAACAGACACCUUAUGAGGUUUACAUCUUACAAUGGAAAAUAUAACAAUUGAAUAAAAUGUGGUACUAUAAUAAAACCAUGGACUUUCUAUGUCUCUAACAGAGUGAUGAUGGAAAUGCAGAGGAAGAGGGUCCAGCCACUUCUCCAACAAACCUUUCCUCAGUAAGAUGUUCAGCACUGAUUUACAACCAACCUAAGUAGGCAUGUACUAUGAAUGUCAAUGCUAUUUUCUGUGUUUCAAUAGCUCCCUGUAAAGCAGCUGUACAAGACCUAUUUGAUCAAGAAAAUAAAAAAUGCGACUUGGAAAUGGAACACUUCAAGCAGCAGAUCCAAAAGACCAAGAUUGAGAUUUUACUGCUGGAACAUCAGUUAAGGGUGGGUGAAGUGGUCAGAGAUGGACGAAUUAUUUCAGUGUUUGAACAACAUAAUAAUAUACUUAUUAAUACUUUGUGUACAGGAAAUACAGGCGACCAAUAAAGCCAGUUCCAAUCACAUUCCAAUCAAGCAAUGAUUGGAAUGUGAGCGCCAUCUAUACAGCCAACCACGCCUGGGAACCCUGAAAAUAAAUGUAAAAUUUAAGUAGUAGUUCAAGUAUCACCACAUCAUGAAUUAAGUUUUGUUCAUCCUGAUACCUGCAAUUUUGUGGAAUCCCUCUUUGAUAAAUCUUGUGGGUCUAUGACCGGGGAACACCACAAAUGAGUACAGGAGACGUUUCAGUGCAACUGUAACAUUCCUGACUGCCCGACAGACGGUAGCCUUGGAAACGUGCUCAGCGUCACCAAUAUUAUACAGAAAGCUCCCGUUUGCAAAAAAA